RNAcentral lists this ribosomal RNA (1343 nucleotides) under uncultured bacterium. RNAcentral describes it as "16S ribosomal RNA". It matches the Rfam family "Bacterial small subunit ribosomal RNA", at positions 28 to 1378 of the family's 1533-position model. The record is from RNAcentral.
GACGAACGCUGGCGGCGUGCUUAACACAUGCAAGUCGAACGGAAAGGCCCUGCUUUUGUGGGGUGCUCGAGUGGCGAACGGGUGAGUAACACGUGAGUAACCUGCCCUUGACUUUGGGAUAACUUCAGGAAACUGGGGCUAAUACCGGAUAGGAGCUCCUGCUGCAUGGUGGGGGUUGGAAAGUUUCGGCGGUUGGGGAUGGACUCGCGGCUUAUCAGCUUGUUGGUGGGGUAGUGGCUUACCAAGGCUUUGACGGGUAGCCGGCCUGAGAGGGUGACCGGCCACAUUGGGACUGAGAUACGGCCCAGACUCCUACGGGAGGCAGCAGUGGGGAAUAUUGCACAAUGGGCGGAAGCCUGAUGCAGCAACGCCGCGUGCGGGAUGACGGCCUUCGGGUUGUAAACCGCUUUCGCCUGUGACGAAGCGUGAGUGACGGUAAUGGGUAAAGAAGCACCGGCUAACUACGUGCCAGCAGCCGCGGUGAUACGUAGGGUGCGAGCGUUGUCCGGAUUUAUUGGGCGUAAAGGGCUCGUAGGUGGUUGAUCGCGUCGGAAGUGUAAUCUUGGGGCUUAACCCUGAGCGUGCUUUCGAUACGGGUUGACUUGAGGAAGGUAGGGGAGAAUGGAAUUCCUGGUGGAGCGGUGGAAUGCGCAGAUAUCAGGAGGAACACCAGUGGCGAAGGCGGUUCUCUGGGCCUUUCCUGACGCUGAGGAGCGAAAGCGUGGGGAGCGAACAGGCUUAGAUACCCUGGUAGUCCACGCUGUAAACGGUGGGUACUAGGUGUGGGGUCCAUUCCACGGGUUCCGUGCCGUAGCUAACGCUUUAAGUACCCCGCCUGGGGAGUACGGCCGCAAGGCUAAAACUCAAAGGAAUUGACGGGGCCCCGCACAAGCGGCGGAGCAUGCGGAUUAAUUCGAUGCAACGCGUAGAACCUUACCUGGGUUUGACAUGGAUCGGGAGCGCUCAGAGAUGGGUGUGCCUCUUUUGGGGUCGGUUCACAGGUGGUGCAUGGCUGUCGUCAGCUCGUGUCGUGAGAUGUUGGGUUAAGUCCCGCAACGAGCGCAACCCUUGUUCACUGUUGCCAGCACGUUAUGGUGGGGACUCAGUGGAGACCGCCGGGGUCAGCUCGGAGGAAGGUGGGGAUGACGUCAAGUCAUCAUGCCCCUUAUGUCCAGGGCUUCACGCAUGCUACAAUGGCUGGUACAGAGAGUGGCGAGCCUGUGAGGGUGAGCGAAUCUCGGAAAGCCGGUCUCAGUUCGGAUUGGGGUCUGCAACUCGACCUCAUGAAGUCGGAGUCGCUAGUAAUCGCAGAUCAGCAACGCUGCGGUGAAUACGUUCCCGGG